Molecule: non-coding RNA, 46 nt
Organism: Schistosoma mansoni
Lineage: Eukaryota; Metazoa; Platyhelminthes; Trematoda; Strigeidida; Schistosomatidae
Source: Rfam
GCACUGCUGAGGAGUCCCGUGAUGGGACGAAACGGCCGUCCAGUGU